RNAcentral lists this transfer RNA (73 nucleotides) under Campylobacter phage CP21. It matches the Rfam family "tRNA". Rfam says of the family: Transfer RNA (tRNA) molecules are approximately 80 nucleotides in length. Their secondary structure includes four short double-helical elements and three loops (D, anti-codon, and T loops). Further hydrogen bonds mediate the characteristic L-shaped molecular structure. tRNAs have two regions of fundamental functional importance: the anti-codon, which is responsible for specific mRNA codon recognition, and the 3' end, to which the tRNAs corresponding amino acid is attached (by aminoacyl-tRNA synthetases). tRNAs cope with the degeneracy of the genetic code in two manners: having more than one tRNA (with a specific anti-codon) for a particular amino acid; and 'wobble' base-pairing, i.e. permitting non-standard base-pairing at the 3rd anti-codon position. Lineage: Duplodnaviria; Heunggongvirae; Uroviricota; Caudoviricetes; Connertonviridae. The record is from Rfam by way of RNAcentral.
GCCUGAUUAGCUCAACUGGUAGAGCAUUCGCCUUGUAAGCGAAAGGUUGAGAGUUCGAGUCUCUCAUUAGGCU